AGGACAAACGCUGGCGGCGUACCUAAGACAUGCAAGUCGAACGGAGCUCCGUGCUUCGGCGUGGAGUUGAGUGGCGAACGGGUGAGUAACGCGUAGGAACCUGUCGUUGAGUGGGGGAUAACGCUGGGAAACCGGUGCUAAUACCGCAUGAGGUUGCUGGAGGGAACUCUGGUAAAGAAAGCAGCAAUGCGCUCGAUGAGGGGCCUGUGUCCGAUUAGCUUGUUGGUGGGGUAAAGGCCUACCAAGGCGACGAUCGGUAGCUGGUCUGAGAGGAUGGUCAGCCACACUGGGACUGAGACACGGCCCAGACUCCUACGGGAGGCAGCAGUUAGGAAAUUUUCCCAAUGGGCGCAAGCCUGAGGGAGUAACGCCGCGUGCGGGAUGACGGCUUUCGGGUUGUAAACCGCUUUUCUGUGGGAAGAGUAGAAGACGGUACCGCAGGAAUAAGCCUCGGCUAACUACGCGCCAGCAGCCGC
This 476-nucleotide ribosomal RNA is filed under the name uncultured bacterium. RNAcentral's name for it is "SSU rRNA". It matches the Rfam family "Bacterial small subunit ribosomal RNA", at positions 26 to 518 of the family's 1533-position model. The record is from RNAcentral.